CCAUGGCAAAAAAGGUAAAAACAUGGAAGCAUAAACAAUAACUAGAAUUCGGUCCAUCCUCUCAACAAAAGCGAUGAAGCUAAAGGAGUAAGACGAAGCGAUGACGAUUUUGAUUGCUCUUCCCGAAUUUGUUGUUGGAGAAGAAGAGACCUGCAAGGAGUAGGAGCCGAAUUGCGAAAGAAAGAUAACACUAGAAGCCUUUCAAAGGACGUCCGAGAAUGGGCCGUCAACGGCAGAUAACUCAAAAUCCUCGAUCACAUGCGUCUCCUCCGAUAUGUGAGAGCGACUUGAACAUCACAUCCAUGAGCUUUCCCAAAAACGGAACCUCACAAACCAAAUUAUGUGAAACCUGCGAGCUCCCUCUACCAAGUUCAAACCCGAAGUCGGCUAGCACAGAGCAAGAUAAAAAAUUCCAAAACCACAUCGAUCACCAAUGGCCUUACUAGCUCCUCUAGGACACAGACCAAAACGCAACAAAAGGCGAAAACCCAAAACAAAACUUACUCCAUCUCAUAGCAACGUCAACAGCAAGACACGAUCAAAACCAGGGCUUGAAGCAAAAUCAAAGAGUCGAGAAUACCAGUGGCGAGGAUGAAAUGAAGACAGCCAAACAGCCACCACCGGAGGCUAAACCGUCAUCAUAGCCAGCACCACCGCAACGAAAACUCUCCUAAUAGUCCUGCUGCCGUCCUCUAGCAGAAUUGGCCAACAGAGAAGUCUCCAUCCAAACGCCAAGUCAUAACGUCGAGGCUAGCACCCAAAAAGACCGUCGAGACAGCAUUGCUCUGAAAACCUAUCAGAAGAAGCGUGACAAGAGUAGCCGAGGCCACGGAGACCAAAGAGGUGAAGCUUCACCUCAGCCCCCGAAGACCACUCCAGACGCCACAAGCUCCAGCUGACGAAGACGACCUACACGGCGGGGACGGAGGCAACUAACUUCUGGACCACCGCCGUCCUCAAACGAUGAGUCCGUCAAGAAGCAGCCUGAACCGCCGGUGAGAGUAGAUCGAGCGGCGGAUCCUCCAGGCAAAGACAUGGAAGGGAGACCGAAGCACACAGAGGAGCUUCGACCGAGAGAGGAGCGCAAAACGAAGAUUGCGACCUCUCACUCGCCGCGUUUCAGAGCAAAUCACAACCCAAUGACCGCUUCAAACUCCGGGGAACAAAAC
RNAcentral lists this long non-coding RNA (1169 nucleotides) under Arabidopsis lyrata. RNAcentral's name for it is "long non-coding RNA (ALYR_LNC003085)". The record is from RNAcentral. Lineage: Eukaryota; Viridiplantae; Streptophyta; Magnoliopsida; Brassicales; Brassicaceae.